This 253-nucleotide ribosomal RNA is filed under the name uncultured bacterium. RNAcentral's name for it is "partial 16S ribosomal RNA". It matches the Rfam family "Bacterial small subunit ribosomal RNA", at positions 524 to 776 of the family's 1533-position model. The record is from RNAcentral.
UACGAAGGGGGCUAGCGUUGUUCGGAAUUACUGGGCGUAAGGCGUGCGCAGGCGGCUCAUCAAGUCAGAGGUGAAAGCCCAGGGCUCAACCCUGGAACUGCCUUUGAAACUGUUGGGCUUGAGUACGGGAGAGGUGAGUGGAAUUCCCAGUGUAGAGGUGAAAGUCGUAGAUAUUGGGAAGAACACCGGUGGCGAAGGCGGCUCACUGGCUCGUAACUGACGCUCAGGCGCGACAGCGUGGGGAUCAAACAGG